CGCUGGCGGCGUGCCUAAUACAUGCAAGUCGAACGGUCUUUCUAUGGAAGCUUGCUUCCACUGAGAAGAUAGUGGCGGACGGGUGAGUAACACGUGGGUAACCUGCCCAUAAGAGGGGGAUAACAUCCGGAAACGGGUGCUAAUACCGCAUAGUUUUCUUGAUCGCAUGAUCGGGAAAGGAAAGACGGCCUUUGUGCUGUCGCUUAUGGAUGGACCCGCGGCGUAUUAGUUAGUUGGUGAGGUAAUGGCUCACCAAGACGAUGAUACGUAGCCGACCUGAGAGGGUGAUCGGCCACAUUGGGACUGAGACACGGCCCAAACUCCUACGGGAGGCAGCAGUAGGGAAUCUUCCGCAAUGGACGAAAGUCUGACGGAGCAACGCCGCGUGAGUGAAGAAGGUUUUCGGAAUCGUAAAACUCUGUUGUCAGAGAAGAACAAGUUGGAGAGUAACUGCUCCAGCCUUGACGGUAUCUGACCAGAAAGCCACGGCUAACUACGUGCCAGCAGCAGC
Molecule: ribosomal RNA, 511 nt
Filed under: uncultured bacterium
Lineage: Bacteria
Description: bacterial SSU rRNA
Rfam family: Bacterial small subunit ribosomal RNA
Source: RNAcentral